This 634-nucleotide ribosomal RNA is filed under the name Arthrobacter sp. Y4. Its description in RNAcentral is "bacterial SSU rRNA". It matches the Rfam family "Bacterial small subunit ribosomal RNA", at positions 74 to 716 of the family's 1533-position model. Lineage: Bacteria; Bacillati; Actinomycetota; Actinomycetes; Micrococcales; Micrococcaceae. The record is from RNAcentral.
UGGAACUUGUUCUGGUGGAUUAGUGGCGAACGGGUGAGUAACACGUGAGCAACCUGCCCAAGACUUUCGGGAUAAGCCUGGGAAACUGGGUCUAAUACUGGAUAUGACCUUUCAUCGCAUGGUGUUUGGUGGAAAGAUUUUUUGGUUUUGGAUGGGCUCGCGGCCUAUCAGCUUGUUGGUGAGGUAAUGGCUUACCAAGGCUUCGACGGGUAACCGGCCUGAGAGGGUGACCGGUCACACUGGGACUGAGACACGGCCCAGACUCCUACGGGAGGCAGCAGUGGGGAAUAUUGCACAAUGGGCGAAAGCCUGAUGCAGCGACGCCGCGUGAGGGAUGACGGCCUUCGGGUUGUAAACCUCUUUCAGUCAGGAACAAGCCACUUGUGGUGAGGGUACUGGCAGAAGAAGCACCGGCUAACUACGUGCCAGCAGCCGCGGUAAUACGUAGGGUGCGAGCGUUAUCCGGAAUUAUUGGGCGUAAAGAGCUUGUAGGCGGUUUGUCGCGUCUGCUGUGAAAGCCCGGGGCUUAACUCCGGGUCUGCAGUGGGUACGGGCAGGCUAGAGUGAUGUAGGGGUAACUGGAAUUCCUGGUGUAGCGGUGGAAUGCGCAGAUAUCACGAAGAACACCGAUGGC